CCUGACGGAGAUUAUCAAUAGUCUCCUGAUGAUAGUCGUGAGAUCCAUGAGAAAAGUUGAAUCGGGCAACGUUCAUGCCUGCCCAUAGAAGCUUCUCGAUCAUUGGCACCGAUCGAGAUGUUGGGCCCAAAGUACAUACUAUCUUAGUCUAUGGCUUGCAGCGCCUAUUCAAGCAAAAGGAUCUAAAUUUUUGCUAGAGAAGGUGGUUAGAGUUGCUCAAGGACUAUGAUAUUAAUAUUUGGCACCGAUCGAGAUGCUGGGCCCAAAGUACAUACUAUCUUCGUCUUCGGCCUCUUCACUGUACAAACAUCCACUCCAUUGUUGCUGUUCUCAAUCGCCAUAGCAAAGAAUUUUGGUUUUUUCAACAAAAAAAAAGGAUACUGAAGGAGGAGACUUUUGUAGAGUGAACCCUUUUGAUAAAUUAAUUAUGAAUAAAAAAUAGGGUAAAUAGGUCUCUAAGAAGUGUUGCGUCGUCCAAACGAAGGCGAGAUCUUGGAGAAUUAUAUAAGAAAACGGAAAACCUGCGGACUUGACGUGAUGUUGAAAUUUUCUUUGGUUUGUUUUAUUUUUUUCUCUUUGGUUUCUCUCGAUCUAUUUUU
This 599-nucleotide long non-coding RNA is filed under the name Nicotiana benthamiana. RNAcentral describes it as "long non-coding RNA (NBEN_LNC034060)". Lineage: Eukaryota; Viridiplantae; Streptophyta; Magnoliopsida; Solanales; Solanaceae. The record is from RNAcentral.